Molecule: ribosomal RNA, 295 nt
Filed under: uncultured bacterium
Lineage: Bacteria
Description: partial 16S ribosomal RNA
Rfam family: Bacterial small subunit ribosomal RNA
Source: RNAcentral
GGAUUAGAUACCCUGGUAGUCCACACCGUAAACGAUGAGUGCUAGUUGUCGGCAGGCAUGCCCUCCGGUGACGCAGCUAACGCAUUAAGCACUCCGCCUGGGGAGUACGGCCGCAAGGUUAAAACUCAAAGAAAUUGACGGGGGCCCGCACAAGCGGUGGAGCAUGUGGUUUAAUUCGAAGCAACGCGCAGAACCUUACCUACCCUUGACAUGCCCGGUGCGUCCCAGAGAGAUCAGGGACUUCAUUUAGUUGGCCGGUGCACAGGUGCUGCAUGCCUGUCGUCAGCUCGUGUUG